GCUGGCGGCGCGCCUAACACAUGAAAAGGGCAGCGAGAGAGAGCUUGCUUUCUCGAGCGAGUGGCGAACGGGUGAGUAACGCGUGAGGAACCUGCCUCAAAGAGGGGGACAACAGUUGGAAACGACUGCUAAUACCGCAUAAGCCCACGACCCGGCAUCGGGUAGAGGGAAAAGGAGCAAUCCGCUUUGAGAUGGCCUCGCGUCCGAUUAGCUAGUUGGUGAGGUAACGGCCCACCAAGGCGACGAUCGGUAGCCGGACUGAGAGGUUGAACGGCCACAUUGGGACUGAGACACGGCCCAGACUCCUACGGGAGGCAGCAGUGGGGAAUAUUGCACAAUGGGGGAAACCCUGAUGCAGCGACGCCGCGUGGAGGAAGAAGGUUUUCGGAUUGUAAACUCCUGUUGUUGAGGAAGAUAAUAACGGUACUCAACAAGGAAGUGACGGCUAACUACGUGCCAGCAGCCGCGGUAAAACGUAGGUCACAAGCGUUGUCCGGAAUUACUGGGUGUAAAGGGAGCGCAGGCGGGAAGACAAGUUGGAAGUGAAAUCCAUGGGCUCAACCCAUGAACUGCUUUCAAAACUGUUUUUCUUGAGUAGUGCAGAGGUAGGCGGAAUUCCCGGUGUAGCGGUGGAAUGCGUAGAUAUCGGGAGGAACACCAGUGGCGAAGGCGGCCUACUGGGCACCAACUGACGCUGAGGCUCGAAAGUGUGGGUAGCAAACAGGAUUAGAUACCCUGGUAGUCCACACUGUA
Molecule: ribosomal RNA, 753 nt
Filed under: uncultured bacterium
Lineage: Bacteria
Description: bacterial SSU rRNA
Rfam family: Bacterial small subunit ribosomal RNA
Source: RNAcentral